RNAcentral lists this long non-coding RNA (1671 nucleotides) under Homo sapiens (human). RNAcentral's name for it is "HSALNT0327430". The record is from RNAcentral. Lineage: Eukaryota; Metazoa; Chordata; Mammalia; Primates; Hominidae.
AACAUAAAGGCCAAAACCUAGAACUGGAAUGAGCUGGAACAGGCCUACACCGCGGGAGCUACAUUUAUGACUUUUGAGAGAUUUACAACUUUCACAAAGCAGGGAGAGAAAAGUAGGGACCCUGAUGGAUGGAAAAAAUCCAUUUCAACCUGUCAUUACAUAUACUUUCAUUUUGAAGACUUCAAGAGAUGAGGGAAAAUUGACUUAUUUUUCCCAGUUAGGGUAUUGAGGGAAGCUGACCAGCACAGACUAAACCCAAAAAAUGAAAUGCAUCUUCUGUUGGUGUUCUCAGUUCUACCGCAAAGAGGGUUGAAAGUAAUUUUGCUGGUGGCAGGGACUGGGGACGGAGAAAUGAGGGAAAAGGAAGCUCCCCCACACCAGUAUGUUAGAUGGUUGGGGCUCCUUUCAGAUUUACGGCAAGCUGGAAAAUCCAUUCUAUGUCUGGCUCAUGUCACAUUCAUAUUUCAUGUCUAUUAGAAGAAUCUCAUGCCACAUCAAUUGUUUGUGAUCUACAUUACAUAUAAUAGGCUCUCUGCUUAUCUUUGACACAGGUGAGGGGCUGAUGUAGAAACUGUUAAAAGACUAUACAAUGACUUGUAUAUUCAAUAAUGGCUCAAACUUCAAAGGUCUAUCAUUUUGCCCUGCUCUUCAUUUCUUUCCUCAUAAUGCUUCUCAAAGCAAUCUUGUCUUUCCAGCCUCACAAUCAAGGACAAAUUCCUGAAUGCAACAUUUGCUUUUCCGUCUUCCCGCUUCACCUCACUCAUCCCUGCAGAAGUACAAGUAUUCCUGGCUUCUUCAAGUCUACGCCUAAGAAUUAAGAGCCUUGGGGAGAAGGGCACUGCAUCGACCACUGCAUCUCAAUCAUUGUGGCAGACGUACCACAGCACUGGGAAGCUGGCCUUGGCAAGAAUCUCAGGCUAUUACUACAGAGUUGGGAAGAAGGUUUAGGAUCAAGAUAGAGGUGACUGACCAAGCCAACAGAUAGUCCUUGAACCAAAAGGAAUUAUGAGAACUCUGCUUAUUUUUGGAAACAUGAAGAAUGAUGAAACCUGUUCAGCAAUGCAUAUUCAUCGGACUGCAGAGGUUUAAUGACAUCAGGGAACCAAACGGAUAAUCCAUAGUACCUGCAAAGACAAAGAAAUGUGAGUUUGUAAAGGCACUAGCAUGCCAGAGGCAAUGAGCAACUCCCUGAUGUUUUCAGACUGGUAAUAGUUCCCGGAGAAUGGCUGGCUCCCUAUAACAUUAUGAGUAAUUCAUCAUACAGCAAUCCAUGUGUCCCUCUCCCCCAGCAUUAAUCUGCAAAAAUCAAGCUUGAGAGAUGGCCUAUGGUUAGCUGGAGAACCCCAGGUAUGUAAUUCCUAAACCCUUCCUUUGGGAAGAGACAUGCAGAAAGCAUCCGAUCCUAUGCCCAUACAUGGUGCCUGGUCUGAAUGUGUCCUUCCAAAACUUAUGUGUUGGAACUUAAACCCCAGUAUAAUAAUAUUAGAGGUGGGGGCUUUAGGAGGUGAUUAAGUUAUGAGGGCAGAGACCUCAUGAAUGAGAUUAAUGUCCUUAUAAAAAGAGGUGCGAGGGUGCUGCCUCUCUCACUUUUUCCCUUCCAUCCCUUCUACCACUGAGGACACAGUAUUUGUCCCCUCUGGAGGACUCAGCGACAAGCUGCCAUCUUGGAAG